UCAAGUCAGAAAAGUACACGACUCUAGUUAAUUGCAAGCCCAUCUUUGGGCCAUUUCAAACUGGCACAUCAAUUUUGGUUUUCCUAUCCGCCACCUGGCGCUGGCGGCGGCUCCUCAAUCUCUAAAUGUACCCAGUCUCUUGCUCUGUUUACAGUUCGAUUAAAUAUAUUCUUGCGUUUGUAUACGUACGUAUGUAACUAAGUGAACCUGAAUCGUAUACUCAUAGAUGUAAAACUAUAUACUAUGCUAAAUAUCAAUACAAAUAUAUGUAUGUAUCUAAAAUAUUGAUUAUGUAUCUCGAAAUUCUUGGUACGUUUAUUAAAAUGAGACUGUUAUCGUGUAGUACGAGUGCUAAGUACCAUAUGUACCA
This is a long non-coding RNA of Drosophila novamexicana, 370 nucleotides long. RefSeq lists it as uncharacterized. The record is from RefSeq and is a predicted model, not a curated record. NCBI's taxonomy places the organism in Eukaryota, Metazoa, Arthropoda, Insecta, Diptera, Drosophilidae. The transcript has 3 exons.